GACGAACGCUGGCGGCGUGCUUAACACAUGCAAGUCGAACGGUGAACCUCUUCGGAGGGGAUCAGUGGCGAACGGGUGAGUAACACGUGGGCAACCUGCCCCCGGCUCUGGGAUAACUCCAAGAAAUUGGGGCUAAUACCGGAUGUUCACCGCUUCCCGCAUGGGUGGUGGUGGAAAGGGUUUCCGGCUGGGGAUGGGCCCGCGGCCUAUCAGCUUGUUGGUGGGGUAGUGGCCUACCAAGGCGACGACGGGUAGCCGGCCUGAGAGGGUGACCGGCCACACUGGGACUGAGACACGGCCCAGACUCCUACGGGAGGCAGCAGUGGGGAAUAUUGCGCAAUGGGCGGAAGCCUGACGCAGCGACGCCGCGUGGAGGAUGACGGCCUUCGGGUUGUAAACCUCUUUCAGCAGGGACGAAGCGCAAGUGACGGUACCUGCAGAAGAAGCACCGGCCAACUACGUG
This 463-nucleotide ribosomal RNA is filed under the name uncultured bacterium. RNAcentral describes it as "partial 16S ribosomal RNA". It matches the Rfam family "Bacterial small subunit ribosomal RNA", at positions 28 to 507 of the family's 1533-position model. The record is from RNAcentral.